Molecule: ribosomal RNA, 442 nt
Filed under: Bulimina sp.
Lineage: Eukaryota; Foraminifera; Rotaliida; Buliminidae
Description: SSU rRNA
Rfam family: Eukaryotic small subunit ribosomal RNA
Source: RNAcentral
CUUAAUUUGACUCAACGCGGGAAAUCUUACCGGGUCCGGACACACUGAGGAUUGACAGGCAAUAUUAGCACUUAGCUUCGGCGACGUGUUAUGUUAAAUAUGCUAGUCCUUUCAUGAUUAUGUGAUAGGUGGUGCAUGGCCGUUCUUAGUUCGUGGAGUGAUCUGUCUGCUUAAUUGCGUUUCACCAAGGGCCUAUAAUUUUACGUGUGUUGCGGCACUUUGACCCCUCUUUUUUUAAAGAGCGCGUGUCUUGGUUUGCUUAGCUCGCACAAUUAGGUCCUGAAAGCAACGAACGUGACCGCAACCUCUUGUUGCCUUUAUACCAAACGUGCAUAUGCAAUUUUUUAAUUGCUUUGCGCGCAAAAAGGCUUUUUAAACUAGAGGGACCGCUGUUACUUUCUUAAACCAGAGGAAGGUUGCGGCAAUAACAGGUCUGUGAUGC